GGUUAAGCGACUAAGCGUACACGGUGGAUGCCCUGGCAGUCAGAGGCGAUGAAGGACGUGCUAAUCUGCGAUAAGCGUCGGUGAGGUGAUAUGAACCGUUAUAACCGGCGAUUUCCGAAUGGGGAAACCCAGUGUGUUUCGACACACUAUCAUUAACUGAAUCCAUAGGUUAAUGAGGCGAACCGGGGGAACUGAAACAUCUAAGUACCCCGAGGAAAAGAAAUCAACCGAGAUUCCCCCAGUAGCGGCGAGCGAACGGGGAGGAGCCCAGAGCCUGAAUCAGUGUGUGUGUUAGUGGAAGCGUCUGGAAAGGCGCGCGAUACAGGGUGACAGCCCCGUACACAAAAAUGCACAUAUUGUGAGCUCGAUGAGUAGGGCGGGACACGUGGUAUCCUGUCUGAAUAUGGGGGGACCAUCCUCCAAGGCUAAAUACUCCUGACUGACCGAUAGUGAACCAGUACCGUGAGGGAAAGGCGAAAAGAACCCCGGCGAGGGGAGUGAAAAAGAACCUGAAACCGUGUACGUACAAGCAGUGGGAGCCUCUUAAUGGGGUGACUGCGUACCUUUUGUAUAAUGGGUCAGCGACUUAUAUUCUGUAGCAAGGUUAACCGAAUAGGGGAGCCGAAGGGAAACCGAGUCUUAACUGGGCGUUAAGUUGCAGGGUAUAGACCCGAAACCCGGUGAUCUAGCCAUGGGCAGGUUGAAGGUUGGGUAACACUAACUGGAGGACCGAACCGACUAAUGUUGAAAAAUUAGCGGAUGACUUGUGGCUGGGGGUGAAAGGCCAAUCAAACCGGGAGAUAGCUGGUUCUCCCCGAAAGCUAUUUAGGUAGCGCCUCGUGAAUUCAUCUCCGGGGGUAGAGCACUGUUUCGGCAAGGGGGUCAUCCCGACUUACCAACCCGAUGCAAACUGCGAAUACCGGAGAAUGUUAUCACGGGAGACACACGGCGGGUGCUAACGUCCGUCGUGAAGAGGGAAACAACCCAGACCGCCAGCUAAGGUCCCAAAGUCAUGGUUAAGUGGGAAACGAUGUGGGAAGGCCCAGACAGCCAGGAUGUUGGCUUAGAAGCAGCCAUCAUUUAAAGAAAGCGUAAUAGCUCACUGGUCGAGUCGGCCUGCGCGGAAGAUGUAACGGGGCUAAACCAUGCACCGAAGCUGCGGCAGCGACACUAUGUGUUGUU
This 1182-nucleotide ribosomal RNA is filed under the name Escherichia coli. RNAcentral describes it as "partial 23S ribosomal RNA". It matches the Rfam family "Bacterial large subunit ribosomal RNA", at positions 1 to 1225 of the family's 2925-position model. Lineage: Bacteria; Pseudomonadati; Pseudomonadota; Gammaproteobacteria; Enterobacterales; Enterobacteriaceae. The record is from RNAcentral.